RNAcentral lists this small RNA (125 nucleotides) under Marmota monax (woodchuck). The record is from RNAcentral. Lineage: Eukaryota; Metazoa; Chordata; Mammalia; Rodentia; Sciuridae.
GCUGGGCGCAGUGGCGCAUGCCUGUAAUCCCAGUGGCUCUGGAAGCGGAGGCAGGAGAAUUGUGAGUUCAAAGCCAGCCUCAGCAAAAGCGAGGCAGUAAGCACUUCAGUGAGACCCUGUCUCUA